AGUGAACGCUGGCGGUAGGCCUAACACAUGCAAGUCGAACGGCAGCACAGUAAGAGCUUGCUCUUACGGGUGGCGAGUGGCGGACGGGUGAGGAAUACAUCGGAAUCUACUUUUUCGUGGGGGAUAACGUAGGGAAACUUACGCUAAUGCCGCAUACGACCUACGGGUGAAAGCAGGGGAUCUUCGGACCUUGCGCGAUUGAAUGAGCCGAUGUCGGAUUAGCUAGUUGGCGGGGUAAAGGCCCACCAAGGCGACGAUCCGUAGCUGGUCUGAGAGGGUGAUCAGCCACACUGGAACUGAGACACGGUCCAGACUCCUACGGGAGGCAGCAGUGGGGAAUAUUGGACAAUGGGCGCAAGCCUGAUCCAGCCAUACCGCGUGGGUGAAGAAGGCCUUCGGGUUGUAAAGCCCUUUUGUUGGGAAAGAAAAGCAGCAGGUUAAUACCCCGCUGUUCUGACGGUACCCAAAGAAUAAGCACCGGCUAACUUCGUG
Molecule: ribosomal RNA, 492 nt
Filed under: uncultured bacterium
Lineage: Bacteria
Description: partial 16S ribosomal RNA
Rfam family: Bacterial small subunit ribosomal RNA
Source: RNAcentral